This 489-nucleotide ribosomal RNA is filed under the name uncultured Bacillota bacterium. RNAcentral describes it as "bacterial SSU rRNA". It matches the Rfam family "Bacterial small subunit ribosomal RNA", at positions 355 to 836 of the family's 1533-position model. Lineage: Bacteria; Bacillati; Bacillota. The record is from RNAcentral.
UAGGGAAUCUUCCGCAAUGGACGAAAGUCUGACGGAGCAACGCCGCGUGGGCGAAGAAGGCCUUCGGGUCGUAAAGCUCUGUUGUUAGGGAAGAACAAGUACGAGAGUAACUGCUCGUACCUUGACGGUACCUAACCAGAAAGCCACGGCUAACUACGUGCCAGCAGCCGCGGUAAUACGUAGGUGGCAAGCGUUGUCCGGAAUUAUUGGGCGUAAAGCGCGCGCAGGCGGUCCUUUAAGUCUGAUGUGAAAGCCCACGGCUCAACCGUGGAGGGUCAUUGGAAACUGGGGGACUUGAGUGCAGAAGAGGAGAGUGGAAUUCCACGUGUAGCGGUGAAAUGCGUAGAGAUGUGGAGGAACACCAGUGGCGAAGGCGACUCUCUGGUCUGUAACUGACGCUGAGGCGCGAAAGCGUGGGGAGCAAACAGGAUUAGAUACCCUGGUAGUCCACGCCGUAAACGAUGAGUGCUAAGUGUUAGAGGGUUUCCG